Molecule: long non-coding RNA, 1316 nt
Organism: Oncorhynchus nerka (sockeye salmon)
Lineage: Eukaryota; Metazoa; Chordata; Actinopteri; Salmoniformes; Salmonidae
Exons: 2
Source: RefSeq, a predicted model, not a curated record
CAAUCACCACCUUCCGGAGACACCUGAAACCCCACCUCUUUAAGGAAUACCUAGGAUAGGAUAAAGUAAUCCCUCUCACCCCCCCCCCUUAAAAGAUUUAGAUGCACUAUUGUAAAGUGGCUGCUCCACUGGAUGUCAUAAGGUGAAUGCACCAAUUUGUAAGUCGCUCUGGAUAAGAGCGUCUGCUAAAUGACUUAAAUGUAAAUGUAAUUCAAUUAUCUGACAAGCUCUGGUGAACAUUCCUGCAGUCAACAUGCCAAUUGCACACCUUCAAAACUUGAGACAUCUGUGGCAUUGUGUUGUGUGACAAAUCUGCACAUUUUAGAGUGGCCUUUUAUUGUCCCCAGCACAAGGUGCACCUGUGUAAUGAUCAUGCUGUUUAAUCAGCUUCUUGAUAUGCCACACCUGUCAGGUGGGUGGAUUAUCUUGGCAAAGGGGAAAUGCUCACUAACAGGGAUGUAACAAAUCUGUUCACAACAUUUGAGAGAGUUAUGUUUUCUGUGUGUAUUGAACAUUUUGCAGAUCUUUUAUUUCAGCUCAUGAAACAUGGGACCAAUACUUGAUAUGUUGCGUUUAUAUUUUUUUCAGUGUAAAACAUUGUCUAAUUCUUCUCUAUUGGAAGUGAUUGAUUUCCAUACUAAUUUCCACUGUCUCUACAACUCAAUAGUUAAAAUACUUGUGGUAACAUUUGUUGUAGUUUCAUUACUUGUUCUGUUAGCUUUGGCCUACAAGUUUCAAAUCUACCUGUCAUACUGUUGAAUUGGGAAGGUGGAAGAAGAUGAGAAUGAGAGGAAGCCUCCAAACGCCUUAAACCAGAGUCAGGAAAUGCACCCACAUCCACAACUGCUCUACUAUGCCCAAGGGAACCCAGAACUAGAAGCAGAGAUGAGAGCUCAGGCUGAGCACUCCUACCUGGAGACGGUGCUGUGGAGGUGGCAGAGGAUGCUGGGGGGCCAGAGGGACGAGAUGAGGAGGCUGAAGACUGACAUGAAGAGGGAGACAGAGAGCUUGCAGACUCUGCUCGCUGGCCUCUUGAAGAUCUGGGGGUGGAGGCAGAAAGAAAUGAAAAUUAAAUGCAGUUGUCUGAAAAUGUAACCCCAGUUUGAGGUGGCGCCGAACCGCUCUGCCAAGUUCCUGAAGGAGAACAACAAGCUGAGCUGCCUGCUUCGCAUGGUGGAGUCCUUGGUGGCCGACCUGCAGCCCCUGCUCACCUACCACCAGGUCCUUGUGGAGGACACCAUGAAGGACAACUCCAUAUAACACAAGAUGUAAAAAGAACUCUGAAGGACUGAUAAAUAAAAGUUUCUGAUUGUGGA